UACGAAGGGGGCUAGCGUUGUUCGGAAUCACUGGGCGUAAAGCGUCCGCAGGUGGCUGUGUAAGUCUGCUGUCAAAGAGCGAAGCUCAACUUCGUAAAGGCAGUGGAAACUACACGGCUAGAGUGCGUUCGGGGCAGAGGGAAUUCCUGGUGUAGCGGUGAAAUGCGUAGAGAUCAGGAAGAACACCGGUGGCGAAGGCGCUCUGCUAGGCCGCAACUGACACUGAGGGACGAAAGCUAGGGGAGCGAAUGGG
This 253-nucleotide ribosomal RNA is filed under the name uncultured bacterium. RNAcentral describes it as "partial 16S ribosomal RNA". It matches the Rfam family "Bacterial small subunit ribosomal RNA", at positions 524 to 776 of the family's 1533-position model. The record is from RNAcentral.